This 1757-nucleotide long non-coding RNA is filed under the name Homo sapiens (human). RNAcentral describes it as "HSALNT0328023". Lineage: Eukaryota; Metazoa; Chordata; Mammalia; Primates; Hominidae. The record is from RNAcentral.
AUUUCUCUGCCCCUUCACUCUCAAAAUCUGUUCUCCAGAAAGAGCUAGUCCGCCUAUUCACACUGAGUUCUAAUGACCUGACUUAAUCAAAGUAUUGUCAUUUCUAGGGAUGUUUGAAAAAUCCAAGCAUUGUAAUCUCUAAUUAUGCAACUAUAGGUAUCGGUAAGCGGUAACAAGGACACUUGUGGAGCUGAUAGCCAACUGUGACCAUGAAACAGCAGAAAGAGAUGGCUGGUUUCCCUGUACACAAGGGCAAAUACAGAUAGUCUCAUUAAUGGUCAGACCAAGAAUUUGACAAAGAUUCAUUCUUGUUGCAUUCUAUUAAGAGUAAAUAUUAUACAUCCAGUAAUCAGUGAACCAUGUCCACCAAGUGAUAAGAAGUUCUGGUUGUAGACUUUAACCCUAGGAUAGGAUUUAACACCAUCUGUUCUGUAUAACAUUUGGAACUAACUUCAUAAUUAUAAUAAACAUCUACAUUAGAAAUUCCUCUACCACCAAGCGCUAUGAGCGAAUUAUAAAUAAGAUUUUAUUUGCUCCAAAGAUGAGCAACUCAGGAUUCUUUGUUAUAGACCCUAAACCCAGAUAAAAAUUAAAAUCUCAAAAAAAAAGAAAAAAAAACAGAUGUCCCUAGAUAAAUGUUCCAGUAUACAACCAGUACAAACUGUCUGGCUAACUUUUUUUUUUUUUAUGAAAUCAGAUAUUCCAGAGCCACCUUUAUCACCAAACAUAAAAGCAUCCCACUGCAUACCUCAACAGAAUUGCCUGCAUAUCCUUAAUGUCUUUCCAAGCAAUUUUAUGCAGUCAGCACCCUAUACAUUAGGGAAGGAAUGGAUGUGUGCUCUAUGGGUUCUUAUAAUAGCAAUGAACCUUCAUAAUCAGACUCAUUCCUUAAUUUUGCUUACUUUUUCAUGCAGCUGCAUUAAUACUACAUUGUCAAAGACAAAGACGAACAUGAGACAUGAGAUAUGAGUUUUAAAAAAAAGAGAGAAGAGCAAAAAAACAAUACAGCUAUCCAAGGAGCAAGUGCUGAGCUUGUGUAAAAACAGCUCCUAUUUUAUUAAAUAAUAGUGUUCCUGCAGGGAUGUCUGAAGUACUCUGCAAGGCUAAUUAGGACAGAUCAAUGUACACUUACCUCUCCAGAAGGCUGAAAGGUGUGUAGUGACUAUGUGUCAUUAAAAAUUUACUUGACCAUGGGCAUCAGAUGUCCAUGAAAGAAUGACCCUGAUACAGACUGAAAUGUUACCAGAUAAAAUGAUGUCAUGUCUGGGAUUCGCUUCAAAAUAAUUUGAGGUGGAAGUGGAAAGUGGAAACAACAAUUAUGAAACAACCUGGCCCAUGAGAUGAUAGCUGUUGAAGGUAGGUAUAGUUAUACAAAAUUUCAUUAUACUUUUCCCUCUACUUUUCUAAUAUAUUCUGAAUUUUCAUAACAAAAAGUUAAAUACACUUAAAAGUAGACAAAUACAUACUAAUUUGAGGUGGUGGUUAAGGACUCAGAAGUUACAGUCCAUGUGUCUGAAUGAAAGUAGUUUCUCAAACAUGCAGAUAUCAGAGAUUUGUGGGAUUCCUUCAAUGGAGAACCAUGUUUUCUCCACACAGAACACUGGUUUCUGAGCAAAAGUAGGCCCUCUUCCUGAAAACAGAUCUGACAAUAUGAAAGUGGUUGGCUACUUAACUGAAGAUACCAAAAGGAAAAAAAAAAAGGACACCAAAAAACUGGGUCUACAAAUGUGGUUGUUGGUUCUCCUUGUUUUUUUUUU